AUGUCCGUCACACUCCUUGGAUUCACUGGAGUCUGGACACCGGAGGUGUGCAAAAGCCCUGGUGUCAGUUUGUUCAGAGAUGGAGUCAGAAGGAAGACCCUAUUUUCAGAUCUUAGCUCCGCCAUAGAUAGGUGGGGUGCCGACCGAGGAGGCAACAUCCACUUCUUCUGUGGACAAGGCCGGAGAUCCCGAGAGCAUCAGCAGAAUAGGAGGAGGAGGCAUAAGAGGCUGAGAGGGGUGACAUGGAGCAUGAGAAGGUGCCCUCGCUGCAAGAGAGGGAGCCCUGCCAAUAGUCGUUGUGGGCUUGUGGCACUGGCCACACGCAGCGCAUCACCAACCAUGAUCGUCCAGGCUGUGGCAUGGGGGUCGUGCUUGCUGCUGGUCCAACGAUUCCCCCACCCUGAUGAUAAGGCCUCAUCCAUUCAAUUUUGA
RNAcentral lists this ribosomal RNA (432 nucleotides) under Triticum aestivum (bread wheat). RNAcentral describes it as "partial small subunit ribosomal RNA". Lineage: Eukaryota; Viridiplantae; Streptophyta; Magnoliopsida; Poales; Poaceae. The record is from RNAcentral.